GGAUUCUAGUGCACGUUUACAGCAUGCCUGACAGAGUAGGUGCUCAAUAUAUAUAUAUAUAACUUGUAAGGCGAGUACAGCUAUCACAGUGCCUCUCCUUUUGAGGAAACUGAGUCUUAGAGAGAUUCAGAAGCACCAAGAUCACAGACCCAGUAAGAAGUAGAACCAGGCUCAGUGCUGUGGACUCAUAGACUCAAAGCCACAGACUUGCCAAGAGAAGCCUGGCGAGGCUAGGACAGUGGCCAUGGAUAGUAAAGACGGCUAAGCUAACACAGCCAUGGCUAACUUAGACCUCCUGACAAUUUACCCUCAGCACAGAACCUUCUGAGAAAAAAAGGUGAUAAUUCAGAAUAGAGAAUAGAGCAGCGUGCCCUGACUGCUCCACAAGAUGGUUAUUUAGCACAAGCAAGAUAACAUAUAUGGAAGCUCUAUAAAGCCCAUUUCAAAUGCAAGGGAACGCCAUGGGGUGACAAUGUAAUCUCGUGGCUGUGUGAAGCUCUGCACCAGUUGAUUACGGAGUUGGAGGAGCUCAGGUACUGAAAAUUGUGGGAGCACCACUGGUCACCUACAGGCCAAGGCAAUGUCAAGUUCAAAUAAUAGUGUACCCCUUGAUCAAACUUUAAUGAGAUGUAAAUGAG
This 638-nucleotide long non-coding RNA is filed under the name Homo sapiens (human). Its description in RNAcentral is "HSALNT0388536". The record is from RNAcentral. Lineage: Eukaryota; Metazoa; Chordata; Mammalia; Primates; Hominidae.